RNAcentral lists this ribosomal RNA (17 nucleotides) under Dendrobium cyanocentrum. Its description in RNAcentral is "partial 26S ribosomal RNA". RNAcentral also lists the same sequence under 1 other name. The record is from RNAcentral. Lineage: Eukaryota; Viridiplantae; Streptophyta; Magnoliopsida; Asparagales; Orchidaceae.
GCGACCCCAGGAUGGGU